Molecule: ribosomal RNA, 425 nt
Filed under: uncultured bacterium
Lineage: Bacteria
Description: partial 16S ribosomal RNA
Rfam family: Bacterial small subunit ribosomal RNA
Source: RNAcentral
GUGGGGAAUCUUGCGCAAUGGGCGAAAGCCUGACGCAGCCAUGCCGCGUGAAUGAUGAAGGUCUUAGGAUUGUAAAAUUCUUUCACCGGGGACGAUAAUGACGGUACCCGGAGAAGAAGCCCCGGCUAACUUCGUGCCAGCAGCCGCGGUAAUACGAAGGGGGCUAGCGUUGCUCGGAAUUACUGGGCGUAAAGGGCGCGUAGGCGGACAGUUUAGUCAGAGGUGAAAGCCCAGGGCUCAACCUUGGAAUUGCCUUUGAUACUGGCUGUCUUGAGUACGGGAGAGGUGAGUGGAACUCCGAGUGUAGAGGUGAAAUGCGUAGAGAUCGGGAGGAACACCAGUGGCGAAGGCGGCUUACUGGACUGUAACUGACGCUGAGGCGCGAAAGUGUGGGGAGCAAACAGGAUUAGAAACCCCGGUAGUCC